GUGGGGAAUAUUGGGCAAUGGGCGAAAGCCUGACCCAGCAACGCCGCGUGAGGGAAGAAGGUCUUCGGAUUGUAAACCUUUGUCCUAUGGGACGAAACAAAUGACGGUACCAUAGGAGGAAGCUCCGGCUAACUACGUGCCAGCAGCCGCGGUAAUACGUAGGGAGCAAGCGUUGUCCGGAAUUACUGGGCGUAAAGGGUGCGUAGGUGGCCAUGUAAGUCAGGUGUGAAAGACCGGGGCUCAACCCCGGGGCGGCACUUGAAACUGUGUGGCUUGAGUACAGGAGAGGGAAGUGGAAUUCCUAGUGUAGCGGUGAAAUGCGUAGAUAUUAGGAGGAACACCAGUGGCGAAGGCGACUUUCUGGACUGUAACUGACACUGAGGCACGAAAGCGUGGGGAGCAAACAGGAUUAGAUACCCCUGUAGUCC
Molecule: ribosomal RNA, 428 nt
Filed under: uncultured bacterium
Lineage: Bacteria
Description: bacterial SSU rRNA
Rfam family: Bacterial small subunit ribosomal RNA
Source: RNAcentral